CCUACGUGAGGCAGCAGUGGGGAAUAUUGCGCAAUGGGCGAAAGCCUGACGCAGCGACGCCGCGUGAGGGAUGAAGGUCUUCGGAUCGUAAACCUCUGUCAGCAGGGACGAACGGUCACUGUGCUAAACAGCAGUGAAUUGACGGUACCUGCAAAGGAAGCACCGGCUAACUCCGUGCCAGCAGCCGCGGUAAUACGGAGGGUGCGAGCGUUAAUCGGAAUUACUGGGCGUAAAGCGCUCGUAGGCGGUAUGUCAAGUCAAGGGUGAAAUCCCCGCGCUCAACGUGGGAACUGCCUUUGAAACUGGCAAACUGGAGUGUGUGAGAGGAUAGUGGAAUUCCAGGUGUAGGAGUGAAAUCCGUAGAUAUCUGGAGGAACAUCAGUGGCGAAGGCGACUAUCUGGCACAUAACUGACGCUGAGGAGCGAAAGCGUGGGUAGCAAACAGGAUUAGAUACCCUUGUAGUC
This 465-nucleotide ribosomal RNA is filed under the name uncultured bacterium. Its description in RNAcentral is "partial 16S ribosomal RNA". It matches the Rfam family "Bacterial small subunit ribosomal RNA", at positions 338 to 795 of the family's 1533-position model. The record is from RNAcentral.